RNAcentral lists this ribosomal RNA (497 nucleotides) under uncultured bacterium. RNAcentral describes it as "partial 16S ribosomal RNA". It matches the Rfam family "Bacterial small subunit ribosomal RNA", at positions 28 to 507 of the family's 1533-position model. The record is from RNAcentral.
GAUGAACGCUGGCGGCGUGCCUAAUACAUGCAAGUCGAGCGAACAGACGAGGAGCUUGCUCCUUCGACGUUAGCGGCGGACGGGUGAGUAACACGUAGGUAACCUACCUAUAAGACUGGGAUAACUUCGGGAAACCGGAGCUAAUACCGGAUAAUAUUUCGAACCGCAUGGUUCGAUAGUGAAAGAUGGCUUUGCUAUCACUUAUAGAUGGACCUGCGCCGUAUUAGCUAGUUGGUAAGGUAACGGCUUACCAAGGCAACGAUACGUAGCCGACCUGAGAGAGUGAUCGGCCACACUGGAACUGAGACACGGUCCAGACUCCUACGGGAGGCAGCAGUAGGGAAUCUUCCGCAAUGGGCGAAAGCCUGACGGAGCAACGCCGCGUGAGUGAUGAAGGUCUUCGGAUCGUAAAACUCUGUUAUUAGGGAAGAACAAACGUGUAAGUAACUGUGCACGUCUUGACGGUACCUAAUCAGAAAGCCACGACUAACUACGUG